Molecule: ribosomal RNA, 253 nt
Filed under: uncultured bacterium
Lineage: Bacteria
Description: partial 16S ribosomal RNA
Rfam family: Bacterial small subunit ribosomal RNA
Source: RNAcentral
UACGAAGGGGGCUAGCGUUGUUCGGAAUCACUGGGCGUAAAGGGCGCGUAGGCGGCCGAUCAAGUCGGGGGUGAAAGCCUGUGGCUCAACCACAGAAUUGCCUUCGAUACUGUUUGGCUUGAGACCGGAAGAGGUUAGUGGAACUGCGAGUGUAGAGGUGAAAUUCGUAGAUAUUCGCAAGAACAACAGUGGCGAAGGCGGCUGACUGGUCCGGUUCUGACGCUGAGGCGCGAAAGCGUGGGGAGCAAACAGG